UGGAUGAUCUCUACAAAGGAGGUGUAGGCUGUGGAGCAGAAGCCAAAAUUUGGUUUUCUCAUCCCCAGCACCUUCCUGAUUGGGGGAACUCGAUGCGCCUGUGAGGCUCCCGAAGAUGCUCCCGCUCCCAGUGGCAUAUUCCAUGAAGAUGAUUCAAAGGUGUGUGGAAUUGGAACAGUUUGGUUUCUAGUUAGUUACUUUAGUGAAUAAUUCUACUUUAUAAUAGAAACUUUAAAAAUUCAUCUAUGUCUACUUGUCAAGAAGAAGAGAAAAAUGGAGCUGCAUUGAUCUUAAGGAUUUAAAAGUAAAGGACUUUGCAGAUUUUCUCAUCCAACAUCUUCUUUCAACAGCUAAGGAAACUGAGAUGCAGAGAAGGAGUUUCAGAAGUAUUCUGAUGCAAUCUGUAAAAUCUCAGAUUCCAAGAGGAGCAGGAAACCUCAUCAUUUCUAGAGAAUUCCUCUUCAUUUUAGAGCCUGUUGGAGGUAAGUGCCUUUGGAGAAUAUACCUUUCCCUCUGUUUGUGUCUUGCCUUUAUUUAUCAUCUGAGGAUUGUUGAACAAGGUUAUCUCUGUUAUACCUUUCAAAGAAUCUUGCAUACCCUUCAUGUAUAGAUGGGAAACACUUGGUUGAAGGAGAAUCUUUCAGGCAGUGGUUUGCUCUCUCAAACCAAUGCUCUUUUAUAUUACACAAAUAAUAAGAUCAGUGAGAUAUUGUAUUCUCUAUGUGUUUCAAUCCACAGUGUGGUGGUAACAAUGUAAUCACUAUGGAAACUUUGUUGAAGAAGACUCGGCUGUUCCUUACAAAUAUCUUCAUUAAAGCCACCUCCAAUGCAUCUGUAGAUGAUUGUUAAUAAAAAUAUUCUAUAGAUGGGAGAAGAGGCA
RNAcentral lists this long non-coding RNA (880 nucleotides) under Monodelphis domestica (gray short-tailed opossum). Its description in RNAcentral is "lncRNA (ENSMODG00000046194.1)". Lineage: Eukaryota; Metazoa; Chordata; Mammalia; Didelphimorphia; Didelphidae. The record is from RNAcentral.